This 164-nucleotide ribosomal RNA is filed under the name uncultured soil bacterium. RNAcentral describes it as "partial 16S ribosomal RNA". It matches the Rfam family "Bacterial small subunit ribosomal RNA", at positions 329 to 505 of the family's 1533-position model. The record is from RNAcentral.
GCCCAGACUCCUACGGGAGGCAGCAGUGGGGAAUAUUGCACAAUGGGCGAAAGCCUGAUGCAGCGACGCCGCGUGAGGGAUGAAGGCCUUAUGGUUGUAAACCUCUUUCAGCAGGGACGAAGCGAAAGUGACGGUACCUGCAGAAGAAGCACCGGCUAACUACG